This 433-nucleotide ribosomal RNA is filed under the name uncultured bacterium. RNAcentral describes it as "partial 16S ribosomal RNA". It matches the Rfam family "Bacterial small subunit ribosomal RNA", at positions 29 to 507 of the family's 1533-position model. The record is from RNAcentral.
AACGAACGCUGGCGGCAUGCCUAACACAUGCAAGUCGAACGAGACCUUCGGGUCUAGUGGCGCACGGGUGCGUAACGCGUGGGAACCUGCCCUUAGGUUUGGAAUAACUCCCCGAAAGGGGUGCUAAUACCGGAUAAUGUCUUCGGACCAAAGAUUUAUCGCCUUUGGAUGGGCCCGCGUUGGAUUAGCUUGUUGGUAGGGUAAAAGCCUACCACGGCGACGAUCCAUAGCUGGUCUGAGAGGAUGAUCAGCCACACUGGGACUGAGACACGGCCCAGACUCCUACGGGAGGCAGCAGUGGGGAAUAUUGGACAAUGGGCGAAAGCCUGAUCCAGCAAUGCCGCGUGAGUGAUGAAGGCCUUAGGGUUGUAAAGCUCUUUUACCCGGGAUGAUAAUGACAGUACCGGGAGAAUAAGCACCGGCUAACUCCGUG